AUGACCCCUGUCAUCUUCUGUAAACUCACAUGUAAAGCUCUCAUUUAUGCUUUCUCAUGUUUAUUUGGCUCUGAACGAUCCUCCAUUCAUGAUUCUAUUGUUCUCACGAAACGAUCCUUUCACACCUCCGCCAGGCAAUCAAGACUCGGACCUACCUACAUCACACUUGAGAGCAGAGAUGCACUUCUGGCUGCUGUAAGUUUGCCAAAGUUUAGCAUGGGCUGGACAGAAAAGGAGGCUAGGAGAGAGUGCACUAAAGAGCUGCUGAUCCCAGAGUGUUGUGCAUUGCUCUCUGAGUCCGACGCUACUGUGGAUACCAUACUGACCACUUCUGUAACGGUAUCCAUGGCCUCAAUCAAGUUUAGUGAAAAUUAUUAUUAUUAUUAUUAUUAUUUAUUUAUUUAUUUAUUUAUUUAUUUAUUUAUUUAUUUAUUUAUUGCAACAGGGUCAGAGUGUGUCUACUCUGCAGACAAAGAAGUGAUGGACUUUUUGAGGGCAGGACAUGAGAUUGAGACCCUCAAUCAAUACCCAAGAAUAAAAAACAUUCUUUUGAAAUACAACAACCCCAUUCCAUCCAGCACAUCUGUGGAAAGACUGUUCAGCUUAGGAAGAUUGGUUCUGACACCAAAAAAAAAAAAAAACAGUCUGUCCGAUAAAAGGUUUGAAAAGCUUCUCCCGAUGAGAUAUAAUCAGCACUUCAGUUGCAAGCAGUGAAAAAUUAGUGGUGAGCAAUAGGCUAAAAAAAAUAAAAUAAAAUAAAACUUAUGUAAAUUUAAUUUAACUUAAAUGCUGCUGUAUGCCUAAUGUUUUAUUUGUCCACUGUAAAAGUUUUUUAGGUCAUUACUUAAGUGAAACAUUCAAAGACCACAUUCAUGGCAAUUGUUUUUGCCAGAUACAUAGCAUACUACUGUAUAAACUUUUUUUAAUAAACAGAUUAAAUGUGCUAUACUGCCAUAAACCUACAUUUAAAAAAGAAAUCAGAGCCACAUCUAGAAUUUUACAGACUUAGUUGGGAUUUUAUGAUUUGGACCAGUACAAAACCACCUAGGAACCAACGUGAUCCCAUUCGCAACUGGGGAAGUCGUAAGAGAGUUUGACUCCUAAGGUUGUGGGUUCAAGUCUCGGGCUGUCAAUACCAAGACUGAGGUGCCUUUGAGCAAGGCACUGAACCCCCAACUGCUCCCCAGGCACUGCAGCAUAAAUGGCUGCCCACUGCUCCAGGUAUGUGUUCACAGUGUGUGUGUGUGUGUGCACUUUGGAUGUGUUAAAUGCAGAGCACGAAUUCUGAGUAUGGGUCACCAUACUUGGCUGUAUGUCACUUUCACUUUCUGUCACUUUCAUCUUCAACUGCAAAGCAACACCGUGACAUCUUG
Molecule: long non-coding RNA, 1373 nt
Organism: Cyprinus carpio carpio
Lineage: Eukaryota; Metazoa; Chordata; Actinopteri; Cypriniformes; Cyprinidae
Source: Ensembl